Molecule: ribosomal RNA, 301 nt
Filed under: uncultured bacterium
Lineage: Bacteria
Description: partial 16S ribosomal RNA
Rfam family: Bacterial small subunit ribosomal RNA
Source: RNAcentral
CAGUAGCCGCGGUAAUACGUAGGUGGCAAGCGUUGUCCGGAUUUAUUGGGCGUAAAGCGAGCGCUGGCGGUCAAUUAAGUCUGAUGUGAAAGCCCCCGGCUCAACCGGGGAGGGUCAUUGGAAACUGGUUGACUUGAGUGCAGAAGAGGAGAGUGGAAUUCCAUGUGUAGCGGUGAAAUGCGUAGAUAUAUGGAGGAACACCAGUGGCGAAGGCGACUCUCUGGUCUGUAACUGACGCUGAGGCUCGAAAGCGUGGGUAGCAAACAGGAUUAGAUACCCCCGUAGUCCCUGUCUCUUAUAC